RNAcentral lists this unclassified non-coding RNA (271 nucleotides) under Hevea brasiliensis (rubber tree). The record is from RNAcentral. Lineage: Eukaryota; Viridiplantae; Streptophyta; Magnoliopsida; Malpighiales; Euphorbiaceae.
GGGUGAAAACACUGUCAUACCAGGUUGAUUCUCAUUCUUAAAAGAAAAAAAAAUUGUUGGAUAUCUCAUACCACACAUGCUAUUUAUUUUCUAGUCUUUUUCUUGUAAGCUAUGUACGUACAAAGUCUGCACAAUGCAGUAUUAUUUUGUCAUAUUUUUAGUAGAGAAGGAUUCAAAAUCAUCUUCAAUUGUCAUUGAACACAAUAACCUAUCUUAUUUGUCCGAUGCUAAUCUUAUAAUGUCAUUGGACUGUGCAUGGGAGAUUUUCCAC